This is an RNA transcript of Hermetia illucens (black soldier fly), 3058 nucleotides long. It is a transcript of the gene named cullin-2, with no coding region annotated. The record is from RefSeq and is a predicted model, not a curated record. NCBI's taxonomy places the organism in Eukaryota, Metazoa, Arthropoda, Insecta, Diptera, Stratiomyidae. The transcript is spliced from 13 exons.
UCUAAUUUCGAUUUUCGAACGACAUCGCAAACGUCGCUCGACUGAACUGACAGCUGUUAAUGUAAGAUUCAUGUUCGUCGUUUCAAGGAGGUUUAGAUUUUCUGGAGGCUCUAGUUGUAUGUGAACUUGAAUAGAACCAUAAAACGACUGAGAAGUUGCUUUGUUUAGUGCCGAGGAAGGAAGCUGAUUUCUGUAACGAUACGACCACACAAUCGCCCGUGACAAUGUCGCUAAAACCGAAGCAGGUGAACUUCGAUAAUGUGUGGCAGGAGCUGAAGGAGACCGUGAAACAGGUGCUCACGAUGGCCAAUGUGCCAACGAGUGUGUGGCAGGAUCGCUUCAGUGAUGUGUACUCGCUUUGCGUUGCAUUCCCUGAACCGCUGGCCGAUAAGCUCUACUUUGAGACAAAACAGUUUCUGGAGAAUCAUGUGCAGAACAUGCUAGCUACACAGGUCGCCCCGCCAGAUCGCAAUUCGUCCGAGAGGAAAAAUAUCCUUAUGAACUACUACAAAGCUUGGUCGGAGUAUAGCAAAGGAAUUGAAUAUCUUAACAAUUUGUAUUCAUAUCUAAACCAGCAACACAUCAAAAAACAGAAAAUUUCAGAUGCUGAUAUUAUGUACGGAAACGCUUCGCCUGAUAACCAGGAACUCAUGGAAAUCGGUGAAUUAGGCUUGGAUAUAUGGCGAAUUUAUAUGAUACAAUCCUUGGGCGAUGAAUUAGUCGCCCAUACGUUGGAGGGCAUCAAAGAGGACAGAAUGAAUGGCAUAGACUCUAAAUAUGUAGAAGUGAUUCACGGAGUUAUUCAGAGUUUUGUGCAAGUUCAGGGCUAUAAGAAGAAAGGGAAUCUUAAACUGUACCAGGAUCUGUUUGAAACGCCAAUGUUAAACGAGAGCGGAAAACACUAUCGCAAUGAGGCAGCUAAAUUACUUCAAAGGUGCUCGGUUAGUGAGUAUAUGGAGGAGGUUAUUAAGAUUUUGAGUGACGAAAAUCGGAGAGCUCAACGAUUUCUGGAUUCAAGUUCAGUAACGAAACUACGUAAAGAAUGUGAAGAACGGUUCAUAAACGACCACCUCGACUUCCUUUAUUCGGAAUGCAAAGAAAUGGUAUCACAAGAAAAACGAAAGGAUCUUCGAAACAUGUACAUUAUCCUAAAACCAAUACCCGAUCGGUUGAAGGAUUUGCUCAAACAGACUUUCCUUGAUCACAUCAAGAACGAGGGAAUCGAAACUAUAUCAACACUCAAAGGUGAAAACAUCCACAUUCAGUUUGUGGAGAACAUGCUGAAAGUACAUCAAAAAUAUCAGAAGCUGAUCGCUGAUGUUUUCGAGAAUGAUUCGUUGUUUUUAAGUGCUUUGGAUAAAGCUUGUGCGAGUGUAGUGAAUAAACGAAUCAACGAACGGCAACCGUGCCGUAGUGCAGAGCUGGUGGCCAAAUAUUGUGAUAGUUUAUUGAGAAAAUCGAAAACAACGGAAAGUGAGAUUGACACGAAAUUAACAAAUAGUAUAACAAUUUUCAAGUACAUUGAGGAUAAGGAUGUUUUCCAAAAGUUCUACAGUCGUAUGCUAGCUAAAAGAUUAAUUCACGAACAGUCCCAGAGUAUGGAAGCAGAAGAAGCUAUGAUAAAUAGACUUAAGCAAGCCUGUGGGUAUGAGUUUACCAAUAAGUUACAUAGAAUGUUCACAGAUAUCUCGCUGUCCGCCGACUUGAAUAAUAAAUUUAACAGUCACUUAAAGGAUGAAAACAUUGAAAUAGGUAUAAAUUUAUCAAUUAAGGUUUUACAAGCAGGAGCUUGGCCACUGGGACCCACGCAAGCCGCAAUACCCUUUGCAGUACCCCAAGAAUUCGAGAAGUCUAUUAGAAUGUUUGAAAACUUCUACCACACAUCGUUCAGCGGGCGCAAAUUGGCUUGGUUGCAUCAUCUGUGUCAUGGCGAGUUGAAAAUGUCGUAUUUAAAAAAAUCAUAUAUAGUCACGAUGCAAACGUAUCAAAUGGCAAUGCUCUUGCUAUUCGAGAGCUGUGACUCACUAACCUGCAAAGAGAUUCAGGAAACGUUACAAUUGAACGAUGAAACCUUCCAGAAACACAUGCAAUCUCUAAUUGAGUCCAAGCUGCUUACAUCAAGCACGGAGAAUUUCGAACGCGACACUGAGAUACGAUUGAACUUUGAUUACUCGAAUAAGAGGACGAAGUUCAAAAUCAGUGCAGCAUUACAACGUGAAACUCCACAGGAGGUCGAGCAUACAAUGAACGCAGUAGAUGAGGAUCGAAAAUUAUACUUACAAGCGGCCAUUGUAAGGAUCAUGAAGUCACGAAAAAUACUGAGGCACAACGCCCUCAUUCAAGAGAUUCUAUCCCAGUCAAAAGUGAGCUUUACACCAAGUAUUUCGAUGAUUAAAAAAUGCAUCGAAUCGCUAAUUGACAAACAAUACAUUGAGCGAACACCAAACUCGGGCGAUGAAUAUAGUUAUGUAGCGUAGUUUCAAGUAAGAGACAUUCAAUGUUUACGAGACAUAAUGACACAACAGAACGAUCAAGACCAGAAUCGAAGCACGUCUCGUUAAGGUUCUAAACGAAGGAAUUUUUCAGUGCUCUUUUACAAUAACGUUGAUACUCAUUUAGUAUCUUAAAGCCGCAAACAAGAACUAUCAUAGAUACGAACUCGAGUACUGCACGCAACUUGGGAUGUUUUAUUUGACAGGAUAUUGUCGUUUGAUUUCGUACAGAUAAUACUGAAUCUCAAUAGGCUACCCCCCCGUUUAACGCUAAUAAAAAAAAAAGAAGAAAUCUACAGGAAUUUUUCAUUUCUGUGUUAUGUUUUGCUAGCAUUCAUGAACUAGAUGAGAAGAUGUAAUAUUUUCUUUUGUUUUUGUUUUUUUUUUAAAUUUUUCAAGUGGACAUUUUAAUUAAUUACAAAAUAUAUCUCUUGAGGAUCUCUCGAUGGUAAUUAGAUUUUGUAGAAAACUUUACCUGAAUCAUGUACUUGCAAAUAAUGAAAACAGACUUGCUCUGUGUGCAUUCUGAGUGGAUACUUUCAUUAAAAAUGAUUUUUAGCAAUGUA